CAGUCGCCGCGGGAAUACGAAGGGUGCAAGCGUUAAUCGGAAUUACUGGGCGUAAAGCGUGCGUAGGCGGUGAGUUAAGUCUGCUGUGAAAUCCCCGGGCUCAACCUGGGAAUGGCAGUGGAUACUGGCUCGCUAGAGUGUGUCAGAGGAUGGUGGAAUUCCCGGCGUAGCGGUGAAAUGCGUAGAGAUCGGGAGGAACAUCAGUGGCGAAGGCGGCCAUCUGGGACAACACUGACGCUGAGGCACGAAAGCGUGGGGAGCAAACAGGAUUAGAUACCCCAGUAGUCCCUGUCUCUUAUAC
This 301-nucleotide ribosomal RNA is filed under the name uncultured bacterium. RNAcentral's name for it is "partial 16S ribosomal RNA". It matches the Rfam family "Bacterial small subunit ribosomal RNA", at positions 509 to 807 of the family's 1533-position model. The record is from RNAcentral.